GGGGCGUUAGCUCAGAGGUAGAGCAUUCGGCUUUUAACCGACCGGUCGUAGGUUCGAUCCCUACACGCCCCACCA
This 75-nucleotide transfer RNA is filed under the name Gammaproteobacteria bacterium. RNAcentral's name for it is "tRNA-Lys". It matches the Rfam family "tRNA". Rfam says of the family: Transfer RNA (tRNA) molecules are approximately 80 nucleotides in length. The record is from RNAcentral. Lineage: Bacteria; Pseudomonadati; Pseudomonadota; Gammaproteobacteria. RNAcentral also lists the same sequence under 4 other names.